AUUUAAGAAGUUUUAAACAUUUCAUUUUCGUUGGAAAAAAAGGAUUUAAAUAUCCUCUUAAAUA
This 64-nucleotide transfer RNA is filed under the name Clovia sp. EMHAU-2015-Zz052918. RNAcentral describes it as "tRNA-Glu". The record is from RNAcentral. Lineage: Eukaryota; Metazoa; Arthropoda; Insecta; Hemiptera; Aphrophoridae.